GACGAACGCUGGCGGCGUGCCUAAUACAUGCAAGUAGAACGCUGAAGAGAGGAGCUUGCUCUUCUUGGAUGAGUUGCGAACGGGUGAGUAACGCGUAGGUAACCUGCCUUGUAGCGGGGGAUAACUAUUGGAAACGAUAGCUAAUACCGCAUAACAAUGGAUGACACAUGUCAUUUAUUUGAAAGGGGCAAUUGCUCCACUACAAGAUGGACCUGCGUUGUAUUAGCUAGUAGGUGAGGUAAUGGCUCACCUAGGCGACGAUACAUAGCCGACCUGAGAGGGUGAUCGGCCACACUGGGACUGAGACACGGCCCAGACUCCUACGGGAGGCAGCAGUAGGGAAUUCUCGGCAAUGGGGGCAACCCUGACCGAGCAACGCCGCGUGAGUGAAGAAGGUUUUCGGAUCGUAAAGCUCUGUUGUAAGUCAAGAACGGGGGUGAGAGUGGAAAGUUCACACUGUGACGGUAGCUGACCAGAAAGGGACGGCUAACUACGUG
This 497-nucleotide ribosomal RNA is filed under the name uncultured bacterium. RNAcentral describes it as "partial 16S ribosomal RNA". It matches the Rfam family "Bacterial small subunit ribosomal RNA", at positions 28 to 507 of the family's 1533-position model. The record is from RNAcentral.